Molecule: long non-coding RNA, 8160 nt
Filed under: Daucus carota (carrot)
Lineage: Eukaryota; Viridiplantae; Streptophyta; Magnoliopsida; Apiales; Apiaceae
Description: long non-coding RNA (DCAR_LNC000203)
Source: RNAcentral
UUCUCUUCUUUCUUUAUUUAUCUACAAUUUCCUGAAAUAAGAUAAAUAAGCGAUUAAUACUACGAAAAUAAACAAAAGAUAAGCACUUAAAUAUGCAAAAAUAUGGACUAAUCAAACUUCCUCAUACCUAUCUUUUGCUCGUCCUCGAGCAAAAAUCAAAAGAAAAGAAAUAAACUAAGAAAACUAGAUGCGAUUCCUAGGCUCCUUUUCGUAGGCGUGACGGGUGAUUUUAGGUUCACCAACCCGUUAAACUCGUAGACGAUCUCUACAAGAGGAGUUUUGUCUCCUAAGGGUUUACAGAAGAUAUACCCAUAAAAUCUUCGAGACAUUCUAGCAAGUGUCUACUCGACUCUACUCUAAUUUCGUUGGUGUUAACAAAAAGCGUUUUUAAGGAAAAUACGACUUAAAGACUCAUCUACUAAUAAUCAAGAUACAGUUGUCUCUAAUCUACUUGCAUCGACACAAAGAUUUACUAGAAAUCCAAGGAGUGUAAGUAAUUUAAGGCCUUUGAUGGAUCCUAAUUGUCUAAGAACACUUUCUCUUUUUCAACCAAUUUUGAACUGACCCAAUCUCUAUCGAAACAAAUAUCUAGCCAAACUUCGCAAACUCUUAUUUAUUAUUUUUUUUCUUUCUUUUUUUUUCUCUUUUUUUUUUGCAUUGACUUUAUUUUGUCCGUUUUCUUAGGCAAACAAUGUUACCCAUGUAGCGAGCUUUGGGUCAGUGACUCCCAAACCAAACGGUCUUAGGGCACUAGGUUUUGAAAUCCCCCUACGGACUUAAUUGCUCGAGUAACAAAGGCCACAAAACGAGACUAGCCAAUCUACUUUUGCCCAUUUAUCUAAAGAUUUUAUCUAUAAAGAACAAUGGGUAUUGAAGUAGUUAUUCCUUUUUUUUAUCCUAUCUCUCUUUUUUUUUUCUUUUUUUUAUUCGCAAAGGUUCGAUUCGACAUUGUUUCAACAUGUGGGUUCUCUCUCAGGUAUCGAAUAAUAUCACUAGACAAUCUCUCCAUCAAAGGUCUUGUGCAAGGUGUGUGCCAUCUUGGAAUUACGAGUAUUUGAUGGAUCCUAAUUGUCCAAGAACACUUUCUCUUUUUCAACCAAUUUUGAACUGACCCAAUCUCUAUCGAAACAAAUAUCUAGCCAAACUUCACAAACUCUUAUUUCUUCUUCUUUUUUUUUUUUUUUUUUUUUUUGCAUUGACUUUAUUUUGUCCGUUUUCUUAGGCAAACAAUGUUACCCAUGUAGCGAGCUUUGGGUCAGUGACUCCCAAACCAAACGGUCUUAGGGCACUAGGUUUUGAAAUCCCCCUACGGACUUAAUUGCUCGAGUAACAAAGGCCACAAAACGAGACUAGCCAAUCUACUUUUGCCCAUUUAUCUAAAGAUUUUAUCUAUAAAGAACAGUGGGUAUUGAAGUAGCUUAUUCCUUUUUCCUUUUUUUUCCUUUUUUUUUCCUUUUUUUUUGCUAUUUUUUAUUCGCAAAGGUUCGAUUCGACAUUGUUUCAACAUGUGGGUUCUCUCUCAAGUAUCGAAUAAUAUCACUAGACAAUCUCUCCAUCAAAGGUCUUGUGCAAAAGUGUGUGCCAUCUUGGAAUUUAAAGUACAAAUCGGUCGAUACAAGCUUCGAAAAGACAACCUUACUCAACUACGUUCAAAUUAUCUAAAAGACACUACAUAUAUAUACUUUUCGAAAACAUGCUAAACACCAACUACUCCUAAAGUUCGAGUGAGGGAAAGACAAAUUAGCUAAAAGUAUCUCUAUUUUUGGAUUUUUCUAAUUUUUCAUUUUUUAGGGUUUUUAUUUUUUUAGAAAUUACACUAAAGCCCUCCCCAUACCUAAAUCAUGCAUUGUCCUCAAUGUAUGCAAAAGAGAGAAUUGAAAUGAGAGAGUAAAGAGGAAAAAUACCUGAAUAGGAGAUGAAGGGAUUUUUAUUAACUACUGAAGCAACUUACAUGAUCAAGGGUCGAUGAGGUGGAUGACCUCUUCCUCCGAAUCAACAGGCAAUUCUAAAAAUGGUUUAAGACGUUGACCAUUAACUUUAAAAACAUUACCAUUUUUAGGAUCCUGAAUUUCAAUAGCACCGUGAGGAAACACAACUUGAACAAUGUAAGGACCGUCCCAUCUAGAACGCAACUUGCCGGGAAACAAAUGAAGCCUAGAAUUGUAGAGAAGAACUUUUUGGCUAGGGUUUUUUCAUUUUUUAAGAAUUACACUAAAGCCCUCCCCGUACCUAAAUCAUGCAUUGUCCUCAAUGUAUGCAAAAAAGAGAAUUAAAAUGAGUGAGUAAGGAGGAAAAAUACUUCAAUAGGAGAUGAAGGGGAUUUUUAUUAACUACUGAAACAACUUACAUGAUCAAGGGUCGAUGAGGUGGAUGACCUCUUCCUCCGAAUCAACAGGCAAUUCUAAAAAUGGUUUAAGGCGUUGACCAUUAACUUUAAAAACAUUACCAUUUUUAGGAUCCUGAAUUUCAAUAGCACCAUGAGGAAACACAACUUGAACAAUGUAAGGACCGUCCCAUCUAGAACGCAACUUACCGGGAAACAAAUGAAGCCUAGAAUUGUAGAGAAGAACUUUUUGGCCGGGAGAAAAGGAUUUUCUCAAAAUAGUUUUAUCAUGGAAGGCCUUAGUUCUCUCUUUGUAAAUUUUAGCAUUUUCGUAGGCAUCAUUCCUAAGCUCUUCUAGCUCGGUCAAUUGUAACUUCCGAUGACUACCGGCGGUGGGUAAGUCGAAGUUCAAUUCUCUAAUGGCCCACAUGGCCCUAUGCUCUAACUCAACCGGCAAAUGGCAAGCUUUACCAUACACGAGUCUAUAAGGAGACAUUCCUAAGACGGUCUUAAAGGCGGUCCGAUAGGCCCAUAAGGCAUCUAUCAACUUGGUUGACCAAUCCUUCCUAUUCGAGUUGACCGUCUUUUCUAAGAUUUGCUUAAUUUGCCGGUUUGAAACCUCUACUUGGCCACUAGUUUGAGGAUGAUAAGGGGUAGCAAGCCUAUGAGUGAUGGAGUACUUCUUAAGAAGUGACUCGAAUUGACGGUUCUUGAAAUGCGUCCCUUGGUCACUAAUGAUAGCCCUAGGUGUGCCAAAUCGAGAAAAGAUAUUCUCUUUAAGGAAUCGAAGGACAACUUUGUUGUCAUUGGACCGGGUCGGGAUGGCUUCUACCCACUUAGAAACGUAAUCAACCGCGAGAAGGAUGUAAAGGUGGGCUUAAUUUGCCGGUUUGAAACCUCUACUUGGCCACUAGUUUGAGGAUGAUAAGGGGUAGCAAGUCUAUGAGUGAUGGAGUACUUCUUAAGAAGAGACUCGAAUUGACGAUUCUUAAAAUGCGUCCCUUGGUCACUAAUGAUAGCCCCAGGUGUUCCAAAUCGAGAAAAGAUAUUCUCCUUAAGGAAUCGAAGGAUGAUUUUGUUGUCAUUAGACCGGGUCGGGAUGGCUUCUACCCAUUUGGAAACGUAAUCAACCGCGAGAAGGAUGUAGAGGUGGCCAACGAACUAGGGAAUGGGCCCAUGAAAUCUAUGCCCCACACAUCAAAGAGCUCUAUAACAAGGAUUGGGCUCAUAGGCAUCAUGUUCCUCCUAGUGAUUCUUCCUAGAUGUUGACACCUACUACAUGCGGAACAAUACUCGGCGGCAUCCUUAAACAAACUAGGCCAAUAAAAACCGCAUUGGAGGAUUUUAGCGGCGGUCUUCUUCGCACUAAAAUGACCUCCACAUGCUUGAUCGUGACAAAACGAGAGGAUGCUAUGAAACUCACUAUUUGGGACACACCUCCUAAUGAUUUGAUCGGGACAAUGUUUAAAGAGAUACGGGUCGUCCCAAAAGAAAUGUUUCACUUGAGAAAAGAACUUGGCUUUAUCAUUCUUGGACCAUGUCGAGGGAAUGUCACCGGUUGCUAAGUAAUUGACUAUGUCGGCGAACCAAGGAAGAGUGGAAAUCGAGAGAAGGUGAUCGUCNNGGUCAACCUUAGCCACACCUCCUAAUGAUUUGGUCGGGACAAUGUUUAAAGAGAUACGGGUCGUCCCAAAAAAAAUGUUUCACUUGAGAAAAGAACUUGGAUUUAUCAUUCUUGGACCAUGUCGAAGGAAUGUCACCGGUUGCUAGGUAAUUGACAAUGUCGACGAACCAAGGGAGAGUGGAAAUCGAGAGAAGGUGUUUGUCGGGAAAGGACUCGCUUAAGGGCAAGUCAUUAGUGGAUUCAACCACUAAUCGAGAGAGAUGAUCGGCGACGACAUUCUCACAACCAUUCUUAUCCCGAAUCUCUAAGUCAGACUCUUGGAGCAACAAAACCCAUCUAAUUAAGCGGGCUUUUGAGUCUUUUUUCGAGAAAAGGUAUUUAAGAGCGGCAUGGUCGGUGUAAACAAUGAUUUUGGACCCGAUAAGAUAAGAGCGAAACUUUUCUAGGGCAAAGACUAUGGCUAGAAGUUCCUUCUUGGUGGUAGAGUAAUUGAGUUGAACAUCAUUUAAGGUCUUACUAGCGUAGUAAAUGACAUGAGGCCUCUUAUCUAUUCGUUGUCCUAAAACUGCUCCUAUGGCAUAGUCGGAUGCGUCACACAUAAGCUCAAAAGGUUGACUCCAAUCGGGAGACUUCAUGAUCGGGGCCGAAGUCAAUUCUCUCUUAAGGUCUUCGAAGGCAUGAACACACUCGCUUGUGAACUCGAAUUUGACAUCCUUAGCUAGAAGGUUGGUCAAAGGUCGGGCCUUUUUGCUAAAAUCUUGGAUGAAUCUACGAUAAAAUCCCGCAUGUCCAAGGAAAGAACGAAUUUCCUUUACGGACUUGGGAGGUGGGAGAUUAGCUAUUAGGUCGACCUUAGCCUUGUCUACUUCGAUUCCUUUUUCAGAAAUUUUGUGUCCUAAAACGAUUCCCUCCUUAACCAUGAAAUGACAUUUCUCCCAAUUUAACACUAGAUCCGUUUCCUCACAUCUUUUCAACACUCGAUCUAGAUUGUUAAGGCAUUGGUGAAAAGAUGGUCCAAAGAUGGAAAAGUCAUCUAUGAAGACUUCUAGAAAGUCACCUAUCAUUUCCGAGAAAAUGCUAUUCAUGCACCUUUGGAACGUGGAUGGGCCCGUGGUUAGGCCGAAAGCUAAGCGUCUAUAAGCGAAGGUUCCAAAAGGGCAAGUGAAGGUGGUCUUUUCUUGGUCUUCCGGUGCAAUCGGGAUUUGAAAAUAUCCUGAGUAACCAUCUAAAAAGCAAUAGAAAGCAUGACCCGCUAACCGUUCUAGCGUUUGAUCGAUAAAAGGCAAAGGAAAAUGAUCUUUCCUAGUGACGGCAUUGAGCUUCCUAAAAUCUAUGCACAUUCUCCAACCGGAUUGGACACGUGUUGGAACUUGCUCAUUGUUCUCAUUCGUCACUAAAGUGAUGCCCGACUUCUUAGGCACUACAUGGAUGGGACUCACCCACUUACUAUCAGAAAUGGGAUAAAUGAUCCCAUUAUCUAAGCAUUUAAAACUCUCUUUCUUAACUACCUCCAUCAUGGGAAGAUUUUUCCUCCUUUGAGGUUCUCUCACGGGCUUUGCAUCUUCUACCAAAUGAAUCCUAUGUUGGACAAUCGCCGGGCUAAUUCCUUUAAUGUCCGACAUACUCCACCCUAUCGCUCCCUUAUGCUUUCUAAGGAUUCCUAAAAGUUCUUCCUCUUGUGAUGUAGUUAAAUUAGAGGCAAUGAUAACGGGGUAUGAUUCAUUAGGGCCUAGAAAAGCAUACUUAAGAGUGUCAGGAAGAGGCUUGAGUUCUAACUCCGGUGGUUGUGACUCAACGGUCUUAUUUGGUAAAGGCAACUUCUCGGGUUCAACAUCACGCUCUUGACUCGUUGUCGGAAUGGUGGAUUCUAACAUUUGGUUGACCUCAUGUGUGUAGUCGGAAACAUCUCAAUCCUCUCCAAAAUGUUUUAAGCAAAAUUCAAGGGCAUCUUUAGGAUUCAUGAGAUCUUGAUCAACUAUUUCAUCAAUUAGAUUAACGUCCAAAGGUUGAUCAUAGAUAUCAUCGGAUUGUUUCCCCACAUGAAAAAUGUUGAGGUCGAUUGUCAUGUUACCAAAUGUUAGCUUCAUUAAGCUGUUCCUACAAUUAAUCAACGCGUUGGAUGUAGCUAAAAAUGGUCGUCCUAGGAUGAUGGGAAUUUGAUUCUUUGGGUUCUUAACCGGCUCGGUCUCUAGGACGACAAAAUCUACGGGAAAAACAAAGUCACCUACUUUAAUUAGCACGUCUUCGAUCAUUCCCUUAGGAAUUUUCACGGAUCAAUCGGCUAAUUGAAGUGUGACAUUGGUUUGGCGGAGCUCCCCUAAACCUAAAGCUUGGUAGACAGAAUAUGCUAGGAUUUAGUUGACUAUUUCAAGAGAUCACAAAUCUAUACUAAUCACAAGCUCAAUGAUUCUUUAUUUCCCAAAAGCUUAAAAGCAUGUGGUGGUACUUACAAGAGUCAUUCAACUUGGAGAACAUAAAUUAAAAAGAUAAUACAAGAUUAAGCUAAAAGAGAUUUGCAUAGAAAUUAAAAAGUGUAUACAAGCUUGGAAAGGAAAUUGGGGCUAGCAAAAUGUAAAUCUAUCUAAGAUACUAACUAUAGAAAUGACUAGGUAGAAAAGGUGGGUAGGUAGCUAGGUAGGUCAUUACAAGUAAAGAGAAGGGGGUAUUUAUAACUAAAGAAUUAGGGUUUAGGGGUAGGGUGGCUAAAUCUUGACCAUCCAUGUGCCUUGUGUGUUGGGUAGAUCAUAGACCUCCAUGUGUCCCCUUACUUGCCAACUCUUUUUUUUCUUCUUUUCUUUUCUUUUUCUUCCCCUUUUUUGCACUUUCUCUUCUUUCUUUAUUUAUCUACAAUUUCCUGAAAUAAGAUAAAUAAGCGAUUAAUACUACGAAAAUAAACAAAAGAUAAGCACUUAAAUAUGCAAAAAUAUGGACUAAUCAAACUUCCCCAUACCUAUCUUUUGCUCGUCCUCGAGUAAAAAUCAAAAGAAAAGAAAUAAACUAAGAAAACUAAAUGCGAUUCCUAGGCUCCUUUUCGUAGGCGUGACGGGUGAUUUUAGGUUCACCAACCCGUUAAACUCGUAGACGAUCUCUACAAGAGGAGUUUUGUCUCCUAAGGGUUUACAGAAGAUAUACCCAUAAAAUCUUCGAGACAUUCUAGCAAGUGUCUACUCGACUCUACUCUAAUUUCGUUGGUGUUAACAAAAAGCGUUUUUAAGGAAAAUACGACUUAAAGACUCAUCUACUAAUAAUCAAGAUACAGUUGUCUCUAAUCUACUUGCAUCGACACAAAGAUUUACUAGAAAUCCAAGGAGUGUAAGUAAUUUAAGGCCUUUGAUGGAUCCUAAUUGUCUAAGAACACUUUCUCUUUUUCAACCAAUUUUGAACUGACCCAAUCUCUAUCGAAACAAAUAUUUAGCCAAACUUCACAAACUCUUAUUCUUUUUUUUUUCUUUUUUUUCUUUUUUUUUUGCAUUGACUUUAUUUUGUCCGUUUUCUUAGGCAAACAAUGUUACCCAUGUUGCGAGCUUUAGGUUAGUGACUCCCAAACCAAACGGUCUUAGGGCACUAGGUUUUGAAAUCCCCCUACGGACUUAAUUGCUCGAGUAACAAAGGCCACAAAACGAGACUAGCCAAUCUACUUUUGCCCAUUUAUCUAAAGAUUUUAUCUAUAAAGAACAAUGGGUAUUGAAGUAGCUUAUUCCUUUUUCCUUUUUUUUGCUAUUUUUUAUUCGCAAAGGUUCGAUUCGACAUUGUUUCAACAUGUGGGUUCUCUCUCAGGUAUCGAAUAAUAUCACUAGGAAAUCUCUCCAUCAAAGGUCUUGUGCAAAGUGUGUGCCAUCUUGGAAUUUAGAGUACAAAUCGGUCGAUACAAGUUUCAUAAAGACAACCUUGUGUGUUGGGUAGAUCAUAGCCCUCCAUGUGCCCCCUUACUUGCCAACUCUUUUUUUCUUCUUUUCUUUUCUUUUUCUUCCCCUUUUUUGCACUUUCUCUUCUUUCUUUAUUUAUCUACAAUUUCCUGAAAUAAAAUAAAUAAGCGAUUAAUACUACGAAAAUAAACAAAAAAUAGGCACUUAAAUAUGCAAAAAUAUGGACUAAUCAAACUUCCCCAUACCUAUCUUUUGCUCGUCCUCGAGUAAAAAUCAAAAGAAAAGAAAUAAACUAAGAAAACUAGAUGCGAUUCCUAGGCUCCUUUUCGUAGGCGUGACGGGUGAUU